UGCAUCGGUCGGGAAUCGAACCCUGGCCGCCCGCGUGGCAGGCGAGCAUUCUACCACUGAACCACCGAUGC
Cordylochernes scorpioides is the source of this 71-nucleotide non-coding RNA. The record is from the annotation of a GenBank genome assembly. NCBI's taxonomy places the organism in Eukaryota, Metazoa, Arthropoda, Arachnida, Pseudoscorpiones, Chernetidae.